GAGCGGAUAGUUCAGAUGGUAGAACAGUAGACUUUUAAUCUACUUGUCGGGGGUUCGAUUCCCUUUUCGCUCACCA
This 76-nucleotide transfer RNA is filed under the name Bacteroidaceae bacterium. RNAcentral's name for it is "tRNA-Lys". It matches the Rfam family "tRNA". From Rfam's summary of the family: Transfer RNA (tRNA) molecules are approximately 80 nucleotides in length. Lineage: Bacteria; Pseudomonadati; Bacteroidota; Bacteroidia; Bacteroidales; Bacteroidaceae. The record is from RNAcentral.